Molecule: long non-coding RNA, 306 nt
Organism: Aphis gossypii (cotton aphid)
Lineage: Eukaryota; Metazoa; Arthropoda; Insecta; Hemiptera; Aphididae
Exons: 3
Source: RefSeq, a predicted model, not a curated record
CUAUCAUUAUACGAAAAUCCAAUUAAUAUUAUUUAUAAAUAGGACAGCAGUUUUAUCUCCAACGUGAUUAUUCCAGUUAAGUUUUACUGAUCGCACAGCAUUAAUAAGUUCAAAUAAUGGUAACCUAUGGCCACAAAAGUCACGGACUUCUAAACGCAAGUAACUUAUUAAUGUACAGAAAUAAACGAGGCUGAACAGUGAACACUCCUUGCCAAAGGAUCAUUGGUAACGAACCGAUGACAUAACACUACAAACAUUUUCGAUGGUCUUUAAAAAAGAUUGUUUCAAAACGUGAUACAACAAAAC